CCAUUUUUCUGGCCCGGAUAGAUGGGGUUCGCCUUCUAACCUAAAUCUGCUCGAUCGAAGAAACAUAGUUCGUCUCUGCUCUACGUGUGGCAGCGAGUCCGUGAUGUUUGCGGUUCUUCUCCCGACUGAAACAGUCUGAUUAAUUGCUUCGUGAUUAAUCUCAUUGAUUAAUGCCUCCACGAUGUGUCUUCAAAGCGUUGUUUGGAUCUGAGAGCCGGUGUGGUUUCAGUAUAAAUAUGUGCAACACUGUUUACCGUUUUAACUCCUUCCGACAUAUCUUGCAAGAAGGCUCGAUUUAUGAGUUAAAUGGUUUUGAUGUUCCGAGAAAGCAAUCCAACCUUCAAGUUUGUCGUUUCUGAGAGAUACUACCAAGAGGAGAGUGAAAGAAAGGCACAGAUUGAACAGAUGGGUGGUCAGAUAGAGAAUUAUCAAAAGAAACUUGAGGAGUUGCAUGACAAAUACACUGGUCAAGUGCGGGAGUGCUCUGAUCUGACCUGCAGGCUUGAUAGCACCGAGGCAUUGGUUCAUACCUUUUGUUGGACUUUAAUGCUAGAUCAAUACUGCUCUGAAACUUUUAAUGUGCUAUCUAGAAAAACCUGAACCAAACCAGCAAAAUGCUUGCUUCCACAAAUGAGGAAUUGAAGAAAUCUCAAUAUGCCAUGAAGGAGAAAUAUUUCAUCAUUUCAGAGCAGAAAAAAUCUGGUACUUUCUAAAUCAUUACUCUAACCAAAUGCUUGAAACGUUGUCUCUAACAUGCUUAUGCAUUUUGCCAAAAAAUGUGCUGGUUCAACAAGCUUUUGUUUUACAAUCUAACUUGGAGAAAGCUACUAAAGAAAAUGCUUCGUUACACCAAAAAAUUGGAAGAGAGAAUAAGCUCAGUGCGGAUAACAGAAAAGUUGUAGACAAUUAUCAAGCAGAACUUUCUGAACAAAUCUCCAACAUGUUCAGUAUGGUUGCUUCGUGUCUGUCCCAGCAAAAUGCACAGAUUUAUGGUGUUAACAAACUGUCCCAAUCUCGGUUAGAGGCGCAUAACAAGGCUAUUCUUGAAAUGAAAAAGAAGGUUCGAGCACAAGGGAUUUAUACAGUUCUCACUUGGAGGCAGUGCAGAAUGUAUUAAGCUUGCACAAGGCAAACUCAAAUGCUUUUCUUGAAGAAGUUUCAGCGUUAACAACUGCAAGUGCAUCUUCCAUUGAUUUUCUUGCAUCAGGAGAUGAGACAACAUCAUCGUUAUUUGAUGAACUUCACAAUGCUCUUACGUCCCACCAGGGAGAAAUGGUUCUCUUUGCAAGGGAACUGAGACAGAAGUUCCACACAACGAUGGAGCAAACCCAUGAGAUGUCUGAAUACAUAAGUUCAUUCUUUCAAAAGCUUAUGGAAGAGUCUAAGAAUGCUGAGAACCGUGUAGCAGAGGCUAAUGAUAAUCAAUUAAACAGCAUUAUCGAUUUCCAGAAGACUCACGGACCAGACAGCUUUCGUGGAGGUCACAGACACGACUAAGCUGAUCCUGAGGGAGAGCUCCAGUAUGUUGGUGCCAAGUUUAUUGUACGAUGAGAUACCUCUUUCCAACCAUUUCAGGGACAAGCCUGUCUGCCUCAGUGUUUUGAUGGCCUUGCUCUGGCUGAAUCCCUGAAGUUACAGCUGUAGAAUAUUUGUUUAACGACUCUGCUUCACUUUCUUUUUAUCAGGUGCGUUUCUAGGCACAGUAUUUUUCUGUAUUUGGGAAUCACCUUGGGCAGCAAAGUCAUGGCUUCUGCGCCAUGUCAGUGCUCUGUUGUAAUACAUUCAACAAUUGUUUCAACCAGUUAGAUGUUUAAAUAUCCA
Brassica napus (rape) is the source of this 1821-nucleotide long non-coding RNA. RefSeq lists it as uncharacterized. The record is from RefSeq and is a predicted model, not a curated record. Lineage: Eukaryota; Viridiplantae; Streptophyta; Magnoliopsida; Brassicales; Brassicaceae. The transcript is spliced from 8 exons.